GUUCAUUUUUGUUCGGUCACAAGAUGCAUCUGCGAGUCUCCGUCGUUCUUCUAUUUGUUCUUCUCACUGGAGGUUUCUCUCUGGUCUGCUAUAAUUGCACGGAUCAACUAGAAGGUCCUUGUAAAGAACAGAUGGCAUGUGACCAUGAACAAAGCAAGUGUGCAAGUAGAAUAACAUUAAAAAUUGAAAACACAGAACAAUGUAUAGUACAUGCAGAGACCACUGAGACAAGUUGUGCAAAGCCAGAUGAAUGUGAAUCGUGGUCCUUUAGCAAACACAUCUGGAGAAAAUCAGUUUUUGUCCAGUGCUGUGACACAGACUUGUGUAAUGAACAAAACAACACAGGUUUCAUCCUCUCUUUUACUGUGAACUAUAAUCACCAUUUAAGAGAACAUUUAAAAAUGACUCCUAAGCUAUUAUUGAAUCGACUUCUUUUUUUUUUUAACCAGCUAAUGGAACGUUCUCAGAACUUCGCUAACAUUCAUUCUCUUAGAGUAAUAGAACA
This is a long non-coding RNA of Carassius gibelio (silver crucian carp), 505 nucleotides long. RefSeq lists it as uncharacterized. The record is from RefSeq and is a predicted model, not a curated record. Lineage: Eukaryota; Metazoa; Chordata; Actinopteri; Cypriniformes; Cyprinidae. The transcript has 3 exons.